Non-coding RNA from Picea glauca (white spruce), 108 nucleotides. The record is from Rfam. NCBI's taxonomy places the organism in Eukaryota, Viridiplantae, Streptophyta, Pinopsida, Pinales, Pinaceae.
GAGAGCCGUGUGAUGGGUUACUAUCCAGCACGGUUCGGAGAGCACUUGUAGCCUGCGCUGGUGAAUGGAAGCCCCCGGCUCUUCCCACGGAGUAACCAUCGACUCUAU